GUACUGAUGAAGAGUCCCAAACUAGGAUGUAACAGCUGUCCAGUAC
RNAcentral lists this non-coding RNA (46 nucleotides) under Trichobilharzia regenti. The record is from RNAcentral. Lineage: Eukaryota; Metazoa; Platyhelminthes; Trematoda; Strigeidida; Schistosomatidae.